This 3126-nucleotide ribosomal RNA is filed under the name Schaalia canis. RNAcentral describes it as "Actinomyces canis 23S ribosomal RNA". It matches the Rfam family "Bacterial large subunit ribosomal RNA". The record is from RNAcentral. Lineage: Bacteria; Bacillati; Actinomycetota; Actinomycetes; Actinomycetales; Actinomycetaceae.
GUUGUUUAGUUUUUGUGGGCAUUCGGUGGAUGCCUUGGCACCAAGAGCUGAUGAAGGACGUUGUGGCCUGCGAUAUGCCUCGGGGAGUUGGCGAACGAGCGUUUGAUCCGAGGAUUUCCGAAUGGGGGAACCUAGCUGCAGUUGUGUGUAGUUACCAUCAUCUGAAGUUCAUAGGGUGGUGGGGGGAACGCGGGGAAGUGAAACAUCUCAGUACCCGUAGGAGAAGAUAUUCCGUGAGUAGUGGCGAGCGAAAGCGGAGGAGGCUAAACCUUGUGUGUGUGAGAGCCGGCAGGCGUUGCGCAUGGGGUGUUGUGGGGCAUGAUCGUUUCUCCUCUGCCGGGGAGUGGCAUGUUUGCAGGUGUGAGGUGAACAGUAUGGGAUGGCUGACCGUAGUGCGUGAGAGUCGUGUAGCCGUUUGCGCCUGUUGAGUGUGUGGGUUGUGUGCCCGAGUAGCGCCGGACUCGUGAAAUCUGGUGUGAAUCUGCCAGGACCACCUGGUAAGCCUAAAUACUACUUGGUGACCGAUAGUGCAUAGUACCGUGAGGGAAUGGUGAAAAGUACCCCGGGAGGGGAGUGAAAUAGUACCUGAAACCGUGUGCCUUUAAGCCGUCAGAGCCUUGUGGGGUGAUGGCGUGCCUUUUGAAGAAUGAGCCUGCGAGUCAGUGGCACGUGGCGUGCUUAACCCGUGUGGGGUAUGCGUAGCGAAAGCGAGUCUGAAAUAGGGCGUUUGUCGCGUGUUCUGGACCCGAAGCGGGGUGAUCUACCCAUGGCCAGGUUGAAGCAAGGGUAAGACUUUGUGGAGGACCGAACCCACCAGGGUUGAAAACCUGGGGGAUGAGCUGUGGGUAGGGGUGAAAGGCCAAUCAAACUCCGUGAUAGCUGGUUCUCCCCGAAAUGCAUUUAGGUGCAGCGUUAUGUGCUUCCUGCUGGAGGUAGAGCUACUGGAUGGUCGAUGGGCCCUGUGGGUUACUGACGUCAGCCAAACUCCGAAUGCCAGUAGGUGUGAGCAUGGCAGUGAGACAGCGGGGGAUAAGCUUCGUUGUCGAGAGGGAAACAGCCCAGAUCAUCAGCUAAGGCCCCUAAGCGUACGCUAAGUGGGAAAGGAUGUGGAAUCGCGUUGACAACCAGGAGGUUGGCUUAGAAGCAGCCAUCCUUGAAAGAGUGCGUAAUAGCUCACUGGUCAAGUGGUUUUGCGCCGACAAUGUAGCGGGGCUCAAGCGUACCGCCGAAGCUGUGGCACUUACACAUGUAACCGUCAGGAGCGUGAUCUUCUGGGGGUGUGUGGGUGGGUAGGGGAGCGUCCUGCGUGCGGUGAAGCCUGGGGGUGACCUCUGGUGGAGCGUGUGGGAGUGAGAAUGCAGGCAUGAGUAGCGAAUCUAGGGUGAGAAUCCCUAGCGCCGAUUGACUAAGGGUUCCAGGGCUAGGUUUAUCCGCCCUGGGUUAGUCGGGUCCUAAGGCGAGGCCGACAGGCGUAGUCGAUGGAUAACCAGUUGAUAUUCUGGUACCGCCUUUCAACCGCCAAGACUGAAUCUCUUGUACUAACCACUUUGCCUCAAUACCGUCUUCACUUUCGGGUGUUGGUGGUGGAGGGGCCGUGGGACCUUGAGGGUAGUAGGUGAGCGUGUUAACAGGGGUGACGCAGAGAGGUAGCUGUCGCACACUGGUGGAUAUGUGUGUCUAAGGUCGUGGCCCGUUUCCUAGGCAAAUCCGGGAGACAUGUGGGUGAGAACUGAUGGGGCUGCCCUUAUGGGUGGCUGAUGGUGAUCCUGUACUGCCAAGAAAAGCCUCGACGUGAGGGUGGAAGGCGCCCGUACCCUAAACCGACUCAGGUGGUCAGGUAGAGUAUACCGAGGCGUUCGAGUGAAUCAUGGUCAAGGAACUCGGCAAAAUUCCCCCGUAACUUAGGGAGAAGGGGGACCCCCGACGGUUCCACCACUACGCGUGGUGGUUGCGGUUGGGGGUCGCAGAGAAGAGGGAGAAGCGACUGUUUACUAAAAACACAGGUGCGUGCGAAGUCGCAAGACGAUGUAUACGCACUGACGCCUGCCCGGUGCUGGAAGGUUAAGAGGAAGACUCAACCGCACGUUGUGUGGUGAAGGUUUGAAUUUAAGCCCCAGUAAACGGCGGUGGUAACUAUAACCAUCCUAAGGUAGCGAAAUUCCUUGUCGGGUAAGUUCCGACCUGCACGAAUGGCGUAACGACUUCUCCGCUGUCUCGACCGUGAACUCGGCGAAAUUGCACUACGAGUAAAGAUGCUCGUUUCGCGCAGAAGGACGGAAAGACCCCGGGACCUUUACUAUAGCUUGGUAUUGGUGUUCGCUUGUGCUUGUGUAGGAUAGGUGGGAGACUGUGAAGCCUGGGCGCCAGCUUGGGUGGAGUCGUCGUUGAAAUACCAUUCUGGUGCAAGUGUGCAUCUAACCUCGGCCCGUAAUCCGGGUUGGGGACAGUGCCUGGUGGGUAGUUUAACUGGGGCGGUUGCCUCCUAAAAAGUAACGGAGGCGCUCAAAGGUUCCCUCAGCCUGGUUGGUAAUCAGGUGGCGAGUGCAAGUGCACAAGGGAGCUUGACUGUGAGACCGACGGGUCGAGCAGGUGCGAAAGCAGGAACUAGUGAUCCGGCCAUGGCACGUGGGUGCGUGGUCGCUCAACGGAUAAAAGGUACCCCGGGGAUAACAGGCUGAUCUUGCCCAAGAGUCCAUAUCGACGGCAUGGUUUGGCACCUCGAUGUCGGCUCGUCGCAUCCUGGGGCUGGAGUUGGUCCCAAGGGUUGGGCUGUUCGCCCAUUAAAGCGGUACGCGAGCUGGGUUUAGAACGUCGUGAGACAGUUCGGUCCCUAUCCUCUGUGCGCGCAGGAAACUUGAGAAGGGCCGUCCCUAGUACGAGAGGACCGGGAUGGACGAACCUCUGGUGUGCCAGUUGUACCGCCAGGUGCAUGGCUGGUUGGCUACGUUCGGAAAAGAUAACCGCUGAAAGCAUCUAAGCGGGAAACUUGCUUCAAGAUGAGGUUUCCAACACCCCCCGCGGGUGUGAAGGCCCCCGGCAGACUACCGGGUUGAUAGGCCAGAAGUGGAAGCACCGCGAGGUGCUCUUGAGCUGACUGGUACUAAUUGGCCAACACUAAACACACAC